UACGGAGGGUGCAAACGUUGCUCGGAAUCAUUGGGCGUAAAGCGCACGUAGGCGGCCUGAUAAGUCGGGUGUGAAAGCCCUGGGCUCAACCCAGGAAGUGCACUCGAAACUGCCAGGCUUGAAUAUGGAAGAGGGUCGCGGAAUUCCCGGUGUAGAGGUGAAAUGCGUAGAUAUCCAGAGGAACACCAGCGGCGAAGGCGGCUCACUGGGUACCACCUGACGCUGAGGCGCGAAAGCGUGGGGAGCGAACCGG
RNAcentral lists this ribosomal RNA (253 nucleotides) under uncultured prokaryote. Its description in RNAcentral is "partial 16S ribosomal RNA". It matches the Rfam family "Bacterial small subunit ribosomal RNA", at positions 524 to 776 of the family's 1533-position model. The record is from RNAcentral.